AACGAACGCUGGCGGCAUGCCUAACACAUGCAAGUCGAACGAGACCUUCGGGUCUAGUGGCGCACGGGUGCGUAACGCGUGGGAACCUGCCCUUAGGUUCGGCAUAACUCCCCGAAAGGGGUGCUAAUACCGGACAAUGUCUUCGAACCAAAGAUUUAUCGCCCUUGGUUGGGCCCGCGUUGGAUUAGCUAGUUGGUAGGGUAAAAGCCUACCAAGGCGCCGAUCCAUAGCUGGUCUGAGAGGAUGAUCAGCCACACUGGGACUGAGACCCGGCCCAGACUCCUACGGGAGGCAGCAGUGGGGAAUAUUGGACAAUGGGCGAAAGCCUGAUCCAGCAAUGCCGCGUGAGUGAUGAAGGCCUUAGGGUUGUAAAGCUCUUUUACCCGGGAUGAUAAUGACAGUACCGGGAGAAUAAGCUCCGGCUAACUCCGUG
This 433-nucleotide ribosomal RNA is filed under the name uncultured bacterium. Its description in RNAcentral is "partial 16S ribosomal RNA". It matches the Rfam family "Bacterial small subunit ribosomal RNA", at positions 29 to 507 of the family's 1533-position model. The record is from RNAcentral.